Molecule: long non-coding RNA, 545 nt
Organism: Sinocyclocheilus grahami
Lineage: Eukaryota; Metazoa; Chordata; Actinopteri; Cypriniformes; Cyprinidae
Exons: 3
Source: RefSeq, a predicted model, not a curated record
AUGUGUGUAUAGUGUGUUCAUGAAAAGGCUGCUGAAGGUUUCAGCAUCUCCAAUACCGAGAGACACCAGUGGCAUAACAGAGACUGGCUCCGGGCCCAGUUACACAAGUGCCCAGCAGAAAGGAUCUUACAGCACGCUGUGUGAUGAGUGUGUUUGUGUUUUCUUUGCAUUAGCACUUUGGACACACCCUUCUGGAGGAUUUUCUUUGUAAACCAGUGACAUUGAAGGGAGGAGGGGCCACCGCCUGCUUUUGCUUUCCCUCCUAGUCAUGUGACACAUUCCCCUUCCAGUAACUAUGGCAACCAGCACUGGUCCAGCCUGUAUCUUGCUGCUAUGAGAAGGGGAGGAAGAGAGAAAGAAAAAGAGAGGAGAGAAAACCCAAAAUAAACACACUCUUCCCAGCAGCUGUCAGAGAUCGCAGGCGAAAAUAACCUAUGGCGGAAGUUGAAUCGCAAACAGAGAGCCUUUGAGUAAGCUGGACUGUGCCUGUCCCGUAAUCCCCGCUAGUCGGGUCAAGGGACCAUGGGAGAUGGAGGCGUCAAUGC